GGCUCAGAUUGAACGCUGGCGGCAUGCUUUACACAUGCAAGUCGAACGGCAGCACGAAAGAGCUUGCUCUUUUGGUGGCGAGUGGCGAACGGGUGAGUAAUACAUUGGAACGUACCGAGUAAUGGGGGAUAACUGUCCGAAAGGAUGGCUAAUACCGCAUACGCUCUGAGGAGGAAAGCGGGGGACCUUCGGGCCUCGCGUUAUUCGAGCGGCCAAUGUCUGAUUAGCUAGUUGGUGGGGUAAAGGCCUACCAAGGCGACGAUCAGUAGUGGGUCUGAGAGGAUGAUCCGCCACACUGGGACUGAGACACGGCCCAGACUCCUACGGGAGGCAGCAGUGGGGAAUUUUGGACAAUGGGCGAAAGCCUGAUCCAGCCAUGCCGCGUGUCUGAAGAAGGCCUUCGGGUUGUAAAGGACUUUUGUCAGGGAAGAAAGGGUUUGGGUUAAUACCCUAAGCUUA
RNAcentral lists this ribosomal RNA (459 nucleotides) under Neisseria arctica. Its description in RNAcentral is "bacterial SSU rRNA". It matches the Rfam family "Bacterial small subunit ribosomal RNA", at positions 21 to 476 of the family's 1533-position model. Lineage: Bacteria; Pseudomonadati; Pseudomonadota; Betaproteobacteria; Neisseriales; Neisseriaceae. The record is from RNAcentral.